GCCAGGCGCGGUGGUGCAUGCCUGUAAUCCCAGCAGCUAGGGAGGCUGAGGCAGGAGGAUUGCAAGUUCAAAGCCAGUCUCAGCAACAGUGAGGGCCUAUACAACUCAGUGAGGCCCUGUCUCUA
This 125-nucleotide small RNA is filed under the name Marmota monax (woodchuck). The record is from RNAcentral. Lineage: Eukaryota; Metazoa; Chordata; Mammalia; Rodentia; Sciuridae.